UACGUAGGGGGCAAGCGUUGUCCGGAAUCAUUGGGCGUAAAGCGCGUGUAGGCGGUUCAGUAAGUCUGCUGUGAAAGUCCAGGGCUCAACCCUGGGAUGCCGGUGGAUACUGCUGGGCUAGAGUACGGAAGAGGCGAGUGGAAUUCCUGGUGUAGCGGUGAAAUGCGCAGAUAUCAGGAGGAACACCGAUGGCGAAGGCAGCUCGCUGGGACGGUACUGACGCUGAGGCGCGAAAAGCGUGGGAGCAAACAGG
This 253-nucleotide ribosomal RNA is filed under the name uncultured bacterium. Its description in RNAcentral is "partial 16S ribosomal RNA". It matches the Rfam family "Bacterial small subunit ribosomal RNA", at positions 524 to 776 of the family's 1533-position model. The record is from RNAcentral.